GCCCCACUAUCAACACCCAAAGCUGAAGUUCUAUUUAAACUAUUCCCUG
RNAcentral lists this transfer RNA (49 nucleotides) under Cephalophorus leucogaster (white-bellied duiker). Its description in RNAcentral is "Cephalophus leucogaster (white-bellied duiker) partial tRNA-Pro". RNAcentral also lists the same sequence under 1 other name. The record is from RNAcentral. Lineage: Eukaryota; Metazoa; Chordata; Mammalia; Artiodactyla; Bovidae.